Non-coding RNA from Salvia hispanica, 167 nucleotides. The record is from RefSeq and is a predicted model, not a curated record. NCBI's taxonomy places the organism in Eukaryota, Viridiplantae, Streptophyta, Magnoliopsida, Lamiales, Lamiaceae.
AAGGAAAAGAAGAAGCUUUCAGAUCGAGGGUUAUAAAUCCUGAAACAGGAUCAGGAGUCCAGUAAGUUUACCUAUCAUAAUCAGGAAUAAGAUAUCAGUAAAACUUUUGGUUGACGUGAGUCGUAGGAACUAAAAGUAUCAUCAGGUUCGGCGGCUGACUCGUUUUG